CCCCUUGAUCAUUUAUCAAACUGUUUUGUUAUAUGAAUGUUUGCGUUCCUUAUCUUCUGCCCUUACUGAAGGAUAAACUUGAAAACAACUUGAAUCUGAACUUAAGGUCGGAAUUUCAAAGUCCUGGUUCUGAAGAACUCUGUUAAACCACUUGAUGUCAGUUUCCUUAUUUGUAAAAUGAUGGUGUCAAGUGCAAUAACUUCCUAGGGACUUUUCAGUUCUUAUAUUCUCUGAUGAUGUCACAGGAUUUUUAUUUUAUGUAUUCUCUUCUCCAUGUUACAUACAAUGCUUAUGCAUGAAAUUUGCCAGAUGAGUUUUGAAAUUUUAUUAUCAAUAUUUUAUUUAGUUUGUGUAUUAGCUUUAUGUUGUGGCUGUAACAAAUCACAAAAUUAGUGUCAUAAAUCAACACAGAUUUAUUACUUUGCAGUUCUCAAGUCAGAGGUCUAACAGGACUUACUGGGUUAAAAUCAGGGCAUUUGCAAAGCUGCAUUCCUUUCUAUAGGCUCUGGGAAGAUCUGUUCCUUGCCUUUUGUAGCUUCUAGAGGCCACCUGCAUUCCUUUUCCUUGGCUUGUAGCUCUGUUCCUCGAUCUUCAAAGUUACAAAGGCAAGUUGAGUCAUUCUCACAUCGAAUGUCUCUGAACUUGUACAGUCACAUCUCCCUCUUGAGUCUCUUCUGCCUUCUCUUUCCAUUUUUAAGUGCUCUUGUGAUUACAGUGGAUAAUCUCAUAAAAUCUGACCAUUUUAAAGUCAGUUGAUUAGCAACCUUAAUUCCAUCUGCUACCCUAAUUUACUUUUGCCAUGUAAUGUAUUUGUAGGUUCUGAGUUUGGAACAUAAACAUUUUUAGGAGGCCAUUAUUCCGCCUACCAUAGUUUAUAUUUAUCCAUGUACAUUAGACAUGUACAGCACUUAUAAGAUACUCUUCCUUAGAGUAUCUUUCAUUUUCCAUGAAUUAAAUAUUAAUACAUUAUUCUGUAAACCAAAGCUUUCUUCAUUUUUAGUGGAAGUAUUUAAGAUAUAUGAUUUUCAUUGAUUAAAGCUCAAUCUUUGAAAUGUUAUUCCUACUAUCAAAUAAUUUAUUAUUCAUUUCUUUAUAUGGAAAUAUGAAAGUGAUUGGAGAAAAAAAUUCAGAGGAUAAGAGUAAUUGUCUAACACUUAUUACUUUUCAGUUUAAAAAAAUUUAAAAUUAAUUUAAAAUUUAAAAAAUGUAACUUACUAGACUUAUAGGCAAAUCUAUGUAGCUAAAGUAUGAUAAAUCUUUAUUCUUUAAUAUGUUGUGGGAAAGAAUGAUGUUCUCCUUAACAUCGUUGAUCCAGAGGAUUGUAUCCCCAAGAAAGCACAGUAUAUUUAUUCAUAUCCCUUUGGUUCUUUAUGGUGAUACAUUGAAAUAUUUAAAGCUUUCUAAGGAGAAAAGGAAAAUAUGGACUUGAUGUUCAACAUAGCUGGUUAUUGCUAUAGUAGAGGAUCGUGAUUAAGGGUGUGACCUGUGGAGUUCAAAUGUCUAGGUUUAUACCUAAACCUACACUUAGAACUUUGGGCAAAUUGCUUAGCAUCUCUAACUUGUUUAUUUAUCACCUUAAAUUAAUAGGCCUUGAAGGUUUAUUGUGGAAGAUCUAAUGAGAAAAUCGACGUGAAGUCAUGCUAUAUUAGUUAGCUCAUAAUAAACAUUCAGUACCUGCUAGCUGCUAUUGUUGCUGUUACCCUC
Long non-coding RNA from Sapajus apella (tufted capuchin), 1704 nucleotides. RefSeq lists it as uncharacterized. The record is from RefSeq and is a predicted model, not a curated record. The transcript has 2 exons. Lineage: Eukaryota; Metazoa; Chordata; Mammalia; Primates; Cebidae.